CUACGGGACGCACCAGUGGGGAAUAUUGGACAAUGGGCGCAAGCCUGAUCCAGCGAUGCCGCGUGAGUGAAGACGGCCUUAGGGUUGUAAAACUCUUUCGCUAGGGAAGAUAAUGACUGUACCUAGUAAAGAAGUCCCGGCUAACUCCGUGCCAGCAGCCGCGGUAAUACGGAGGGGACUAGCGUUGUUCGGAAUUACUGGGCGUAAAGAGUUCGUAGGCGGACUGACAAGUUAGAGGUGAAAUCCCAGGGCUCAACCCUGGAACUGCCUUUAAAACUGUCAGUCUAGAGACCGGAAGAGGUUAGGGGAAUACCUAGUGUAGAGGUGAAAUUCGUAGAUAUUAGAUGGAACACCAGUGGCGAAGGCGCCUAACUGGUCCGGUACUGACGCUGAGGAACGAAAGCGUGGGGAGCAAACAGGAUUAGAUACCCUUGUAGUC
This 439-nucleotide ribosomal RNA is filed under the name uncultured bacterium. Its description in RNAcentral is "partial 16S ribosomal RNA". It matches the Rfam family "Bacterial small subunit ribosomal RNA", at positions 339 to 795 of the family's 1533-position model. The record is from RNAcentral.